CCUACGGGUGGCUGCAGUGGGGAAUAUUGGACAAUGGGCGCAAGCCUGAUCCAGCAAUGCCGCGUGUGUGAAGAAGGCCUUCGGGUUGUAAAGCACUUUUAUCAGGCGCGAAAUACUACCGGCUAAUACCCGGUGGGGCUGACGGUACCUGAGGAAUAAGCACCGGCUAACUUCGUGCCAGCAGCCGCGGUAAUACGCAGGGUGCAAGCGGUAAUCGGAAUUACUGGGGGUAGAGCGUUAAUAGGCGGGUGAAAUCCCCGGGCUCAACCUGGGAAUGGCAGUGGAUACUGGCAAGCUAGAGUGUGUCAGAGGAUGGUGGAAUUCCCGGUGUAGCGGUGAAAUGCGUAGAGAUCGGGAGGAACAUCAGUGGCGAAGGCGGCCAUCUGGGACAACACUGACGCUGAGGCACGAAAGCGUGGGGAGCAAACAGGAUUAGAUACCCGAGUAGUC
RNAcentral lists this ribosomal RNA (450 nucleotides) under uncultured bacterium. RNAcentral describes it as "partial 16S ribosomal RNA". It matches the Rfam family "Bacterial small subunit ribosomal RNA", at positions 338 to 795 of the family's 1533-position model. The record is from RNAcentral.